RNAcentral lists this ribosomal RNA (253 nucleotides) under uncultured bacterium. RNAcentral describes it as "partial 16S ribosomal RNA". It matches the Rfam family "Bacterial small subunit ribosomal RNA", at positions 524 to 776 of the family's 1533-position model. The record is from RNAcentral.
GACGUAGGGGGCAAGCGUUAUUCGGAAUUAUUGGGCGUAAAGCGCUCGUAGGCGGGACUGGAAGUCCGUGUUGAAAGACCUCGGCUCAACUGAGGGACCGGCUCGGAUACUCUAGUUCUUGAGGCAAUCAGAGGGUGAUGGAAUUCCCGGUGUAGCGGUGAAAUGCGCAGAUAUCGGGAGGAACACCGGUGGCGAAGGCGGUUCUCUGGGCCUUACCUGACGCUGAGGAGCGAAAGCGUGGGGAGCGAACAGG